GUAGGGAAUAUUGGGCAAUGGAGGCAACUCUGACCCAGCCAUGCCGCGUGCAGGAUGACGGCCCUCUGGGUUGUAAACUGCUUUUAUACGGGAAGAAAAAAUACUACGUGUAGUAUACUGACGGUACCGUAAGAAUAAGGAUCGGCUAACUCCGUGCCAGCAGCCGCGGUAAUACGGAGGAUCCAAGCGUUGUCCGGAUUUAUUGGGUUUAAAGGGUGCGUAGGCGGAUCUUUAAGUCAGUGGUGAAAGCCUGCAGCUUAACUGUAGAAUUGCCAUUGAAACUGAAGAGCUUGAAUGUGGUUAAAGUAGGCGGAAUGUAUCAUGUAGCGGUGAAAUGCUUAGAUAUGAUACAGAACACCGAUAGCGAAGGCAGCUUGCUGAACCAUUAUUGACGCUGAGGCACGAAAGCGUGGGGAGCGAACAGGAUUAGAUACCCCAGUAGUCC
Molecule: ribosomal RNA, 445 nt
Filed under: uncultured bacterium
Lineage: Bacteria
Description: bacterial SSU rRNA
Rfam family: Bacterial small subunit ribosomal RNA
Source: RNAcentral